Molecule: long non-coding RNA, 1807 nt
Filed under: Equus caballus (horse)
Lineage: Eukaryota; Metazoa; Chordata; Mammalia; Perissodactyla; Equidae
Description: lncRNA (ENSECAG00000049590.1)
Source: RNAcentral
AGACCACUCAGGCUGCAUCAUGAGGACUAGUUUCCAGAAGAGGUUCCAGGCUGAUGAAAGGAAAGCCAAUUACAAGAUAGUUCCAAGAAUAGCAGGCAAGCAGACUCCUGUCUCCAUGAACUCCCUCUCUGACCUGAAUUGAAGUAUAGUCCAUUGGCUCCUGUGCCGGCACGACCUUAUACAGCAGGGAGGAUUGGAUACAGCUGAAGUCAAAGGUGAUCAACUUUGGGAGUGGAGAAAUCAAGAAGAGGGAACAAUCAAUGUCGUGGCAGACAAAUUACAGCAACUUCUGUGUUGAACAUGCUUGACCCUUCUGCCCAGACUGAUUUUAGGAGCCAGAAAGAAAUAAGGACAAAAGGACAGAAUCUUUCUUAAUUCAACACUGUUUUUGUGUUGGCCUUCCUAGCAGGUUGUAAAUCCUACAUAUACUAUGUGAUACCUCAUAUCCCAUCACCUGCCUGGUCUUCUCUUUCUUCCUUUAGCUCUAAUCUGGGAGCUGAGAAAGGUACCAGGACUCUUCUCAGUCCCUUGCAUACAUUUUCCUCUCUCACCCUCGCAGAAGCUCACACCAUAUUACUGAUGAGGACAAGUAACUUGCCAAGAUCUUUGAAGUAGAAAACUGCAGAGGCAGAAUUUGAAUCCUGGACAGUCUGAUCCAGAGAAUCUUUCAUAUAAAAUAGACUGCAUCCCUAAAGGAGAAAAUCUGAAACACAAUAUGACACUUAAACAGAUAUGUCUGCUUACGUGUCUAAUUUCCCACUGGCCUAUGAGCAAUGUGAGUGGAGGGAUAAUUCAUAUUCACUUCUGUAGCCCCCAUGCCUGGCACAUUGGGAACACUCGAUAAGCAUUUGUUGAAAGAUGAAUGAAUUUGUUAAUUAAUACCCAUCUCUCUUCUUUAUCCUGCACCUGAAUUACUGCCAAAACCUUUAAAAUGGCCUUUUCACCUCUAUGCUUCACUACCUCUGACUGAGUUUCCACAGCUAACAUGAUUAACUUGACACUAUUACUCUGAAAUUACUCAAUAGCACCCCCCCCAUCAAAAGCAUAAAGUGCAAGUUUCUCUUCCUUUAUCUAUCUUUAGAGUGUUAUCUCUUUCCUCUCUAUCCCACACCAUACAACCUACACUUCACCCCUCUGCUGAAUAAUUAUGGAAAUCUGAGUUAUUGGCAGCUUCCCUAAUACAAACUUUUGAGCUUUUGUUUCAAAGCUUUGAGCUUUUGUGCAUGCAAUUUCCUCCACCAGGAUGGCCUUAGUCUCCCCACCCCCACCACUCCUCCCUGGCCUUAUUUACCUGGCAAACUCCUAUCCCUCUGUUAUGAACUGAAUGUUUGUGUCCCCUCAAAACUCUCAUGGUAAAACUCUACCUCCCACCCAAAAUGAUGGCAUUAGGAGGUGGGGUCUUUGGGAGGUAAUUAGGAUUAGAUGAGGUCAUGAAAGUGGAGCUUCAUGAAUGGGAUUAGUGCCUUUCUAAGAGUCACAAGAGAGCUUGCUUCCUCUCUGCUCUCUAUCAAGGAGAAGUUGGCAUCUGUAACCCAGAAGAUACCCCUCACCAGAAGUCAACCAUGCUGGUAUCCUGAUCUCAGACUUCCAGCCUCCAGCAGUGUGAGAAAUAAAUGUCUGUUGUUCAUAAGCCACCUGGUCUAUGGUACUUUGUGAUAGCAGCCCAAACUGACUUAGACAACCUCCUUCAAGAAUUAGCUUAAGCAACGCCUCCUUGAAAUUCACCUAUUGCCUGAGAACUCAGUGUUUUCUUCAUCUUACAUGGGGUCCACUAUGCAAACUCUUAUAUGAUGCUUUCACUGUCUAC